Molecule: long non-coding RNA, 1152 nt
Organism: Peromyscus eremicus (cactus mouse)
Lineage: Eukaryota; Metazoa; Chordata; Mammalia; Rodentia; Cricetidae
Exons: 2
Source: RefSeq, a predicted model, not a curated record
GCCUCAGAUCUGGCUCACGAGAGCCGAUGGCCAAACUUUCCACAAGUUGCAAGCUGGUUGUAAAAACACAGCCUUUAUUUAAAAAAAUUAUGCGCACUUGUAAUUAAGUAAAUCGCAAUUAAGUAAAUUAUAAUUGAUUGCGAUUUGGUAAAUCACAUUAGAAGCAAAGAUUAAAAACACUCAAAUACUUAUUUUUGAGUAUUUGCUCUAUGACCCGUUCUAUUGAAGCGAUCUCCAUCUACUGCUUUUGUUUUCCAGAAAUUCUAAAGAGUGUAGAGGGGAAGAUAUACCACACAGACCUCCCCAGUUCCUCAUCCAGUGAUAUUGCUGAUCAGUAGCUUGAAUUAGGUCAUGACAGAAGUAUUGACUGCACAGAAAUUAGCAAUGCCAUAAAUCAGUGCUUGCUACACCUUUACCAGCACAGCAUUGGGAGUAUCCACUUUCUGACUUGGGCAUCUAGACAGGACCCUGAAAAUGGAGAAUGGUUGUUAUAGCACAUGUUCCGGGAUAACAAACCAACAUACACCAAGCAAUGAGCCAUGGUGUGAAGGACGCUUACUAGCAGCCUAAUCAGGCUGUGCAAUUGAGACAAAAACUGGAGUUUGAGGAAGUAGGAUGUCAAUGCAACUGAGAAGAGCUGAGAACCAGGAUCUGAAGAUCGUUCGCUUCCGCUGCGGAAAUGUUGCCUGAGCAGUUUCCUCUGUGGACGGGGACUUGCAAGGUGGGCACCCGUGAAGGAGAGCCAUUGCUGAUCACCACGGCUAAGCCAGAAGAAGCUGAAGGAAACAUUAGGAACUGGGUUACUUUUUCUGUAAAUGUGAUAACUGAACCCUAGGUAGAUAGGGUUGUGAGGAGAGUCAUAUGUGAAUCCAUGAAAACCCCAAGUGAGCUAAUUUAACCAAAAGGGGCUUAUUUUCCUCACCCAGGCAGAGGUCUGGAGGACGUGCCUGCACAUAGCAUCCAUUCUCCAAGCUCUGUGGAUCUUUUCAUGUCACUCUCCUUUUGAAGAUUGGUUUCGUGUGUGACACAUCACUUCAGGUUGUAUGACGACUGUCUCAUCCCUAUCGUCACAUCUGUGUUCCAAACAGGUUGAAGUGUGAGGAAGGAGUGUUAUCUACAUCAGGAAACAAAGACCUUUCUAGAAAUCCCCAA